AGAGUUUGAUCCUGGCUCAGGACGAACGCUGGCGGCGUGCUUAACACAUGCAAGUCGAGCGGAAAGGCCCUUCGGGGUACUCGAGCGGCGAACGGGUGAGUAACACGUGAGCAACCUGCCCCCGACUCUGGGAUAAGCCCGGGAAACUGGGUCUAAUACCGGAUACGACACUCCUCGGCAUCGAGUGGGUGUGGAAAGUUUUUCGGUCGGGGAUGGGCUCGCGGCCUAUCAGCUUGUUGGUGGGGUAGUGGCCCACCAAGGCGACGACGGGUAGCCGGCCUGAGAGGGCGACCGGCCACACUGGGACUGAGACACGGCCCAGACUCCUACGGGAGGCAGCAGUGGGGAAUAUUGCACAAUGGGGGAAACCCUGAUGCAGCGACGCCGCGUGCGGGAUGACGGCCUUCGGGUUGUAAACCGCUUUCAGCAGGGACGAAGAUGACGGUACCUGCAGAAGAAGCGCCGGCUAACUACGUGCCAGCAGCCGCGGUAAUACGUAGGGCGCAAGCGUUGUCCGGAAUUAUUGGGCGUAAAGAGCUCGUAGGCGGUCUGUCGCGUCGGAUGUGAAAGCUCGAGGCUUAACCUCGGGUCUGCAUCCGAUACGGGCAGACUAGAGGCAGGUAGGGGAGAACGGAAUUCCCGGUGUAGCGGUGAAAUGCGCAGAUAUCGGGAGGAACACCGGUGGCGAAGGCGGUUCUCUGGGCCUGUACUGACGCUGAGGAGCGAAAGCGUGGGGAGCGAACAGGAUUAGAUACCCUGGUAGUCCACGCCGUAAACGUUGGGCGCUAGGUGUGGGGACCUUCCACGGUUUCCGCGCCGCAGCUAACGCAUUAAGCGCCCCGCCUGGGGAGUACGGCCGCAAGGCUAAAACUCAAAGGAAUUGACGG
RNAcentral lists this ribosomal RNA (887 nucleotides) under uncultured bacterium. Its description in RNAcentral is "bacterial SSU rRNA". It matches the Rfam family "Bacterial small subunit ribosomal RNA", at positions 8 to 916 of the family's 1533-position model. The record is from RNAcentral.